Molecule: ribosomal RNA, 495 nt
Filed under: uncultured bacterium
Lineage: Bacteria
Description: partial 16S ribosomal RNA
Rfam family: Bacterial small subunit ribosomal RNA
Source: RNAcentral
GACGAACGCUGGCGGCGUGCCUAAUACAUGCAAGUAGAACGCUGAAGGAGGAGCUUGCUUCUCUGGAUGAGUUGCGAACGGGUGAGUAACGCGUAGGUAACCUGCCUGGUAGCGGGGGAUAACUAUUGGAAACGAUAGCUAAUACCGCAUAAUAGCAGUUGUUGCAUGACAACUGUUUGAAAGGUGCAAUUGCACCACUACCAGAUGGACCUGCGUUGUAUUAGCUAGUUGGUGGGGUAACGGCUCACCAAGGCGACGAUACAUAGCCGACCUGAGAGGGUGAUCGGCCACACUGGGACUGAGACACGGCCCAGACUCCUACGGGAGGCAGCAGUAGGGAAUCUUCGGCAAUGGACGGAAGUCUGACCGAGCAACGCCGCGUGAGUGAAGAAGGUUUUCGGAUCGGAAAGCUCUGUUGUAAGAGAAGAACGAGUGUGAGAGUGGAAAGUUCACACUGUGACGGUAUCUUACCAGAAAGGGACGGCUAACUACGUG